AGAUAAAUAAGUAAAUAUUUAAUUAUUAAAUAGUCCAAGUCCUGGUUACAAAGCCCAAACACUACAAGCCCAAAACUUAAAACCAAAAAGCACUACCCGUAUAACCCAAAUUAAACCCUUAAACCCGACCUAACCCACAAUAGCCGACCCAACUCAAACACUACCCAGUAAGCCCUUUACACCCAUGACCCGUAUACAUCAGCGGCCCAAAAGGCCCAAAUGACUUAAGAGGAACAAGAAACCCUAGGGUUUCCUGAACACUAUCGCGCCGCAACUGCUUCUAGAAUAUUCGGGGAGCGUCUGUCCAGUCUACGAAAUCGAGGCCACCAUCAAGGCACUGUCCCGAGGCCCUUCGACACACCAGCUCGACCACCGAUCACGCCUCCACCAGUGGGCCGUGACUUCAGCAUUGUGUCGUGCCCAGCACGGUUACCAUCGAGAUCCUCGCAAGUUACCUGUAAGAAAAAGAAAGAAAUCAAAGCAAAAAAGGCAGCAGAUAUACUAGAACAGGAAACGGAAAGAAAUCCUCCGAUUUAUUUCCAAAAUGGGCAGUAGUUUAAGGCUAUAAAGCCUUUCGCAAAUCUGUAAAAACUUACUUUUUACAUAGAUACACAGGGAGAGACAAAAAAACACAGAAAGAUAGGGAGUUACAAACAAGUUGUAUUCAUAAAAAGCAGAAGAAAUAAAACAGUUUUUGUUUCUUAAAGGUAAUCGAAUCACUUUUUACUAUUUUCCAUUUAUCUGCUUAUUUUCUAGUGUGCAUACACAAAUCUUAGAAUAUAAUCAAAGAAAACAAAAGAAGCGGAGUUACCUUCUUGAUUUGCUGCGAAAAAUGGAAUUUUGAAAACCCUAACCGCCGUACGCGACGGCAUCAAAGGUGGCGCGUGGGCACGUGUGCACUUAAGAGCAGAGGCUUAACAGAGCUCCGGUGCCGGUCCCAGACCCUCAUUCAGAGGAUUUCAC
Molecule: long non-coding RNA, 963 nt
Filed under: Gossypium barbadense (sea-island cotton)
Lineage: Eukaryota; Viridiplantae; Streptophyta; Magnoliopsida; Malvales; Malvaceae
Description: long non-coding RNA (GBAR_LNC002902)
Source: RNAcentral